UGGAAAGAGGAAUAAGCUAGCAAAAUCCAAUUUAUGAAUACUCAGAGCUUGAUUUCAAAGGAUUCAUGAAGAAUCACUACUGAUGAAGGAUAUCAGUGUCUUCAGUGGAGCUGUCACUGAGCUGUAUAAAGGAUUCAACUCUUAAAAAUUUUGAUAAAUAGGGAUAUGAUGUGGAGGAGCUAGACCAACCAGAUGACUUGCAGGAAGAUGUGGAGUACUGUGCGGAAUCAUGAAAGGGUAUGACAGAUGAGGCAUUUCCCACUGCUUUAUCUGAGGAGUCUAACCCAGAUUUGUAAAACAGGUCUGAA
This is a long non-coding RNA of Empidonax traillii (willow flycatcher), 308 nucleotides long. RefSeq lists it as uncharacterized. The record is from RefSeq and is a predicted model, not a curated record. NCBI's taxonomy places the organism in Eukaryota, Metazoa, Chordata, Aves, Passeriformes, Tyrannidae. The transcript has 3 exons.